This 235-nucleotide ribosomal RNA is filed under the name uncultured Glomus. Its description in RNAcentral is "partial 18S ribosomal RNA". It matches the Rfam family "Eukaryotic small subunit ribosomal RNA", at positions 548 to 785 of the family's 1831-position model. Lineage: Eukaryota; Fungi; Glomeromycota; Glomeromycetes; Glomerales; Glomeraceae. The record is from RNAcentral.
UUGGAGGGCAAGUCUGGUGCCAGCAGCCGCGGUAAUUCCAGCUCCAAUAGCGUAUAUUAAAGUUGUUGCAGUUAAAAAGCUCGUAGUUGAAUUUCGGGGUCAAUAGGUUGGUCGUGCCAAUGGUAUGUACUGGCUUUAUUGAUUCCUACCUCUUGACGAACUGUGAUGCCAUUAAUUUGGUGUUGCAGGAAAUCAGGACUGUUACCUUGAAAAAAUUAGAGUGUUUAAAGCAGGC